GAGGAUAUAGCUCAGUGGUAGAAUGAAUGCUUAGCAUGUACAAGGCCCUGGGUUCAAUCCCCAGUACCUCCA
Transfer RNA from Camelus ferus (Wild Bactrian camel), 72 nucleotides. It matches the Rfam family "tRNA". Rfam says of the family: Transfer RNA (tRNA) molecules are approximately 80 nucleotides in length. NCBI's taxonomy places the organism in Eukaryota, Metazoa, Chordata, Mammalia, Artiodactyla, Camelidae. The record is from Rfam.